UGGGGAAUAUUGGACAAUGGGGGCAACCCUGAUCCAGCGAUGCCGCGUGUGUGAAGAAGGCCUGCGGGUUGUAAAGCACUUUUGUUUAGGAAGAGAUUCCGCAGAUGAAUAGUCUGUGGAUGAGACAUUACUAAAAGAAAAAGCACCGGCUAACUCUGUGCCAGCAGCCGCGGUAAUACAGAGGGUGCGAGCGUUAAUCGGAGUUACUGGGCGUAAAGGGCGCGUAGGCGGAGAUAUAAGUCAGAUGUGAAAUACCCGAGCUUAACUUGGGGGAGUCGUCUGAUACUGUAUUUCUAGAGUAUUGGAGAGGGAAGUGGAAUUUCCGGUGUAGCGGUGAAAUGCGUAGAUAUCGGAAGGAACACCCGUGGCGAAGGCGACUUCCUGGCCAAAUACUGACGCUGAGGCGCGAAAGCGUGGGGAGCAAACAGG
This 429-nucleotide ribosomal RNA is filed under the name uncultured bacterium. RNAcentral describes it as "bacterial SSU rRNA". It matches the Rfam family "Bacterial small subunit ribosomal RNA", at positions 355 to 776 of the family's 1533-position model. The record is from RNAcentral.